AUACGUAGGGGGCGAGCGUUGUCCGGAAUGAUUGGGCGUAAAGGGCGCGUAGGCGGCCCGGUAAGUCUGGAGUGAAAGUCCUGUUUUUAAGAUGGGAAUUGCUUUGGAUACUGUCGGGCUUGAGUGCAGGAGAGGUAAGUGGAAUUCCCAGUGUAGCGGUGAAUGCGUAGAGAUUGGGAGGAACACCAGUGGCGAAGGCGACUUACUGGACUGUAACUGACGCUGAGGCGCGAAAGUGUGGGGAGCAAACAGGAUUAGAUACCCUGGUAGUCCACACUGUAAACGAUGAAUGCUAGGUGUAGGGGGUAUCGACCCCUUCUGUGCCGCAGUCAACACAAUAAGCAUUCCGCCUGGGGAGUACGGCCGCAAGGUUGAAACUCAAAGGAAUUGACGGGG
RNAcentral lists this ribosomal RNA (396 nucleotides) under uncultured bacterium. Its description in RNAcentral is "partial 16S ribosomal RNA". It matches the Rfam family "Bacterial small subunit ribosomal RNA", at positions 523 to 918 of the family's 1533-position model. The record is from RNAcentral.